GACGAACGCUGGCGGCGUGCCUAACACAUGCAAGUCGAGCGAUGAAACUUCCUUCGGGAAGUGGAUUAGCGGCGGACGGGUGAGUAUCACGUGGGCAACCUGCCUCAAAGAGGGGAAUAGCCUUCCGAAAGGAAGAUUAAUACCGCAUAAUAUUAGAAAUUCGCAUGAAUUUCUAAUCAAAGGAGUAAUUCGCUUUGAGAUGGGCCCGCGGCGCAUUAGCUAGUUGGUGGGGUAAUAGCCUACCAAGGCAACGAUGCGUAGCCGACCUGAGAGGGUGAACGGCCACAUUGGAACUGAGAUACGGUCCAGACUCCUACGGGAGGCAGCAGUGGGGAAUAUUGCGCAAUGGGGGAAACCCUGACGCAGCAACGCCGCGUGAGCGAUGAAGGUCUUCGGAUCGUAAAGCUCUGUCUUUUGGGACGAUAAUGACGGUACCAAAAGAGGAAGCCACGGCUAACUACGUGCCAGCAGCCGCGGUAAUACGUAGGUGGCGAGCGUUGUCCGGAAUUACUGGGCGUAAAGGGUGCGUAGGCGGAUAUUUAAGUCAGAUGUGAAAUACCCAGGCUUAACUUGGGAGUUGCAUUUGAAACUGGAUAUCUAGAGUGCAGGAGAGGAAAGCGGAAUUCCUAGUGUAGCGGUGAAAUGCGUAGAGAUUAGGAAGAACACCAGUGGCGAAGGCGGCUUUCUGGACUGUAACUGACGCUGAGGCACGAAAGCGUGGGUAGCAAACAGGAUUAGAUACCCUGGUAGUCCACGCUGUAAACGAUGAAUACUAGGUGUAGGAGGUAUCAUCCCUUCUGUGCCGCAGUUAACACAAUAAGUAUUCCGCCUGGGGAGUACGGUCGCAAGAUUAA
Molecule: ribosomal RNA, 854 nt
Filed under: uncultured bacterium
Lineage: Bacteria
Description: bacterial SSU rRNA
Rfam family: Bacterial small subunit ribosomal RNA
Source: RNAcentral